UACGUAGGGUGCGAGCGUUAGUCGGAAUUACUGGGCGUAAAGUGUGCGCAGGUGGCCGCGCAAGUCGAGUGUGAAAUCCCCGAGCUUAACUUGGGAAUUGCGCUCGAAACUACGUGGCUCGAGUGUGGCAGAGGAAGGUGGAAUUCCACGUGUAGCGGUGAAAUGCGUAGAGAUGUGGAGGAACACCGAUGGCGAAGGCAGCCUUCUGGGCCAACACUGACGCUCAUGCACGAAAGCGUGGGGAUCAAACGGG
Molecule: ribosomal RNA, 253 nt
Filed under: uncultured bacterium
Lineage: Bacteria
Description: partial 16S ribosomal RNA
Rfam family: Bacterial small subunit ribosomal RNA
Source: RNAcentral